Podarcis lilfordi (Lilford's wall lizard) is the source of this 69-nucleotide non-coding RNA. Lineage: Eukaryota; Metazoa; Chordata; Lepidosauria; Squamata; Lacertidae. The record is from the annotation of a GenBank genome assembly.
GGAUGGCUCAGUUGGUAGAGCAUGAGACUCUUCAUCUAUGGGUCGUGGAUUCGAGCCCCGUGUUGGGCA